GUAGAUUAAACAUUCCUGCAGAUGCAAGGAAAGCUAAAACAUCCACUGAUGUCACGCUUGAUUUUAAAAUGGAGAAGCUAGACAAAACUAUAAGAGUAAAGUCAUACUGUGUAACAUAGAGACAGUUUAAAGAUGGUGAUGGAAUCCUAGAGCAAAUGUAUCCUAUUUAUCACGUUGUGGACAAAAAAGAAAAAGAAAAAAAAAGAAGAAGGAAACUAAGAUGGCUAAACAGUAGGAAAAGUAUUUAUAAGACUAAAAACUACUAAAAGCAAGAAUAUAUCCUUCAGAUAGAUUGGGCCUGACAAAUGAGAAAAAUAGAAAGGCUUGUAGACCCAGACAGGCAGAUAAUAGGGAAAAAUGCAGUAAGAAAGGCCAAAAGAAUUGGAGAAAUUUACAGAAAGCACCAAAAAAUCCCUAGUAAAUCCUGUUUCAAACACAGGAGAAGCAGGAAGCUUUCUGGAGUCUGUAGGACCAGUAAGCAAUAACUAUGCAGAAGGAGUGCUUAGAAAAGUGAGAUGUUUCAUGGUAUUUGCUGUGGAGGAUCGCGGGGGACUCCCACAGUGGGAUGUCUUUCCUGGCAGGUUGAUGAAAUAGGGCAAGUGUUACCUCCAGUGUGCACUCCUGGCUUAUGUCCUGGUACCAGAAGACAAACACCAGUUCAACAUCCUUUUUAAGUGUUUCCUGUGAGGUUCCCAGAACCCCACAGUGGUAAACCUAGUAUUUGCAAUAGAUACGUUAGCAAACACUGUAAUAAUAAUGGAAUGAGUGGGAACAUCAGUAAAUAUCAGUGACAAAGAGCUAUCUGGGGGUUUGCAAUGAAAAUCAUGAUAUACAAAUCUGUCGGGUAGAACUGGAGGAGUGGAUGGGCCAGGCUGGUGAUAUAACUUACAUGGAUUUUCAAAAAGCAUCAAAAGGCUGUUAAGGAAUGCAGGUGCCAUGAAACGACAGCGAGGUGCUUCAGAAAAUUGAUUAAAAUUGGGAAGUGGGAGGUAGAAAUAAAAGGUUGAAGUUGUCACUGUGGAGGAAAGUCACAAGUCUGGUUCUGUAGGGAUCUGUGCUGUGGUGUUUGGUAGGCUCACAAGCAAGGUGAAGCGGGGCUGCAGUCAGAUGGUGAAGUUGGAUGAUGAGCUCAAUUUUUUCAGGGAAAUGAAUCAGUUUGCAAAAUGACCAUCUUAAAUUGAGAGCCAGGUUAGGGAAGUGCAGAUGAAAUUCAGUGCAGAUAAACAGAAAGGAAUGUAAAUAGGAAGAAAGAGUCCCAAUAUUUUUAUCACUCAGGAACAGUGGGGUUUUUUUUUCCUGUUUUUUUGUUUGUUUGUUUGUUUGUUUGUUUUGUUGGAUAUUGGUAGAUAAGUUGAAGUGAUUGUCAGUUCAGGGCUUUCAGCAGUGGUUAAAAACUCAUCAAAUUGAAUGCUAGGAACAGAAUAGACUAAGUGGAAACCAUAAUUAUGCCACUUUCUAAAUCCAAGCAGUACAUCCAUUGUGAGUAGCACGUGGUGCCCUGCCCUCUGCCCCUCAGGAAACACAUCAGAUGUGAAGGAGGAACAGAGCAGGAUGACCAAAGCAAUGUGGGUGCAGAGUGGCUUUUGUGACAGGGACACCUGAGUAGAUUAAGACUUGUCACCUUCGAAAAGAGAUAGCUGAAAGGAAGAGAUUUGAUACAAGUCUAUAAAACCAUAUGUAGCCUGGAGAAAGUGACUGAAAAAAAAAUGUUCUGCAGACUGUUUUGGAGGCAAAGAUCUGAUAGGAAUCAUGUCAAAUAAAGCUAGAAGGAAAUGAAUUCAAAAGAAAUUAAAUAUGCCAAGGUUGGGGACUUCCUUGACACAAAAAAAGUUGUGUGGCAUGUUACUGUUAUAGCAAGAGUCACACAGCUUCAGAAAGCACUCCAAAAAUUCAAGGAUGAAAAAGAAUACAUCAGGAAUGAUUAAAACACAAAGAUGUCAGCUUUGGGUCUGUUAAGUGUCCGAGGUAAAAAUUAGCCUGGAAGAAUAUUCUUCCACAAGCUCAUCCUGGUUUUAUGCAGUCUUACAGACGUCUGUGCUGCUUGCUGUACAAUGAGAUGCAGGUGCAGGGCGAGGCAGCUUUGUUUUAAGUAGUAGUGUUAAGUGUGGCUGGAGAAACAUCUCAAGAGUUUUCAUUUUGGAUCUGCAGCCAAAUGGGAAGUAGAAUGAAGUUGAAAUAUUCUUUACCUUCUGCAGUACUUAAACAGGUCAGUCCCUUAAUGACAUUUUGUUUCCAUUUUCUUUUACUUCUUCUGGUACUUAAAUAUUAAGUGCUGUGUAAUAUGCUAUCCAUUAUUUAUGGCAAGUGUGUGAGUUGUACAUUCCCUAAGACAUCAAGCCAUCACUAUUGCCCUCAGGAUGGGUAAAUCAGAUUGCUAGAGAAGAAAAUAGGCUAGUAACAUUCAGUGUAAGCCUUUUUCCUCCUAAAAUCUGAGAUAUAGUGAAUGAAAGUGUGUUGUGCCAGUGGAAGGAGGGGUUGCACAGAGAUCCCAUUAGGAUGACAUGCUGGAAGGUAAGAAGGUGCCUGGAGAGCUUCCUUCUGAUCUGGCCCUGUCCUUUGGGCAGUGGUGACCAGAGUCCUGCCUUGGUAUUGCCCACCUUCUCCUUGUAUUCCCUUCCUUGGAAUAGCACAGCGUUGCUGUCCAUGUUGUAAUGGUAUGCAGUUUUAAUUUGUUGGGCCAAAAGUGCUUGUUGCUCUGUCUCUGCUAAGCUCAGCCCUCUGCACCAAUGAAUUUGAGCCUCUGGCUUUUGACUGCCUAGCUUGUGAAGGGCUUUACAGAAUAUGACCGCUGAGGAGAGGCUGAAGGAACUGGGGCUGUUUAGUCUGGGGAAAAGGAGGCUGAGGGGAGACUUUAUUGCUUUCUUCCAGUAUCUGAAAGGUGUUUACAGUGAGAAUGGGGUUGAUCUCUUCUCACUGGUGACAGGUGACAGGAUGAGAGGAAAUGGCCUCAAGUUGCACCAGGAUAAGUUUAGGUUGAAUAUGAGGAAGCACUUAUUUACAGAAAGGAUUGUUAAGCACUGGAAUAGGCUCCCCAAGGAGAUGGCUGAGUCACUGGGUGUGUUUAAAACCUGUCUGGAUGCGGUGCUCAAGGACACGAGUUAGCUGAGGGUUGUUACGGUAGUAUGGUUAGGUUGUGGGUUGGAUCUUUAAGGUCUUUUCCAUCCUGAGCGAUUCUAUGAACAUCAGGUGGCUUACAGGACCAGGUGUGAUUGUGUGCCCAGCAUGGGUACGCUGAGCUUUCUAGGGUGUUGUUUUGCUUUGUUUUUUGUGGUGGCUCCUCUGAGAGGUGUCUGUAGUGCCAUAGGAUCCAGGGUCAUGUGAGAAUUAGGGUUUCUCCCAAAUACAAAGCAGCCCCUCUCCACAGGUUAGCCUGGGAGGGGAUCCAGAAGUUGUUUGCUUUGUCCUCCUCACUACAUAUGCAGAGAUAUGUCUCUAUGAAGACAGGCACAGAAGUGAGCACACAGCUGAAAAGAGAUCCAGAAAUGAAAUAAGGGGCAGAUGAGGAUGUGUUUUUAAGAGAAUCAGGAUGCAAAAUCAAGGAGGGAAACUUCAGGGAUACAGUCUUAAGAUGCAUUAUCAGAGAGAACAGCGCUUUGCAAACAGUGCUUGUAAAAAUGCAACAGGGCAAGGGGAAUGUGCCCUAGGAAUUAGUGGCAGAUAUGGGACAAGGGGGGUCUCAUCAGUCUUUGUUUUCUGGAUUAGUUCUUCUAGCAAAAAAAACCCAAACAAACAAACAAAACAAUCAAAGGGAUCUGUAGGUGUUGAGAUCUUCCGUGGGGUUUUGUUUGUAAAUUAAAAAAACAAAAACAAACAAAAAAACUAUCAGAAGAUAAAUGCUUCCUGAAAAAAAGAAAGGAAAACCAAUCCCCAGAAAGCCAUCCUCUGCACACUGAGCAGGUAUGUUCUGCUCCUCCCCCUGCCCCCAAAGGGCAGGCUGGCUCACUGCCCACUGCUGCAGGUGAGGAUGUGUGAGCACUGCCUGGCUGCUCUGCUCCUUUUCUUCUACUGCCCGGGUCCCUGCAGCUGCUGCUGCACGAGAAUAAGGAGGAUGUGGCUUUGUGUGAGACACAGUAAGGUCUUUAGGAGACUCUCUGCAGAGUCCUGCAGUAAUGCAUAUCUUGAACAGGCAGUGCUGGUGGGCUUGGCGCUUCGCUCCUUUGUUUGCCCGUUCAGGGAAAAUAUUGCAGUUACCUCCAUAGUUAGUUUUAAAAAUGAUAGAAGGCAAAACGUUACCUGGCAGGGUGACAGGGGAACUGUUGUGCACAGAGAGAGCGUCCGUGUUUUAUCCAGCCCUGUUCAGUUAUUCCUGAACAACUGGAGCACAUUGCUGGACUGUUCCCUGCAGAGAUUCCUGCAUCUGACAAUCUGCUUUCGGCAGGAUUUAGCACUGAAAAUCAGCAAGUGUGAGUGAGGCACAAAGUGCUCAGCCUGACGGAGGCCUGAGGAUAACCAAUGCAUGGAAGUGUGGGGAGUUUCUACAUUUCUGUGAGAAUGCUGCAUUCUGUAUAGUCUUUUUCAGUAUCUUCAAUUCAUUGUUCUGGAUGUUGUUUUAGUGACCUGGAGCUUGCCAAGGUGGAAAUUGUUAGAGAGAAUAAACCCGUCUGUGAGUUAGUGACAGAAAUACCACUGCCUUUUAUCUGCUUUUCCUGCUUUGAUUUCUCAAGAGCUUACCUGAGCUGUCUCUUGUCCAAGGGCUGCUUUUAUACCUGUGCCAAUAAGUGGUGGAGCGCUCACGAAGGGCACAGCACAGUGGCAGCCUGGGAGGGAGGCAGUGAAAGGCUGCCUUUAACACUGCUGUACCUAGAAAACCCAAUUUUCAGCUGUAUGUGUCAGUGUGGCAACUCCUCUUGUUCCCAACCGGCAUGCUACAGGGUAAUUGAGAAUACGGCUUAUUGCAGGCUUUUGUUUCUCUUCCAAGAUUCAUUCCUUUUCAUUCCUUUCUGUGCUGAGUAUAAUAAACAGAACAGGAGCUGUAGGCAGUUUGGCAGGGGAAACAAGGUUCAAUAACUUAAAAAAAAAAAAAAAAAAAAGGCAGAAAAACAAACAAAAAGCAGGUCAGUAGAGAGCUGGAAAGAUGGAAAGAUGCCUUUGACAGAAGAAAAGUAGAGGAAGCAAAAGAAAUAUCCAAGCUGUUUCCUCUGCCCUUCUCAGUCAAUGUGAAUGGAAGCUGUGAAUGAAGGAAUGCUGAGACUUCUCUGUUUCCCAGCCAGGCAGGUGGGGCCUUCCUGGUGCUCCCUUACUGCUAUCAGAUCCGCUGACAUCAGCAUGGCCCACAGCAGAGUUGCUUGAUGGCCCUCAUCACAGGAGUGAGGCUGUUCGCCACGUGUGGGGUUACAGUGAUCCCAGGUGGCCCAAUGAAUCUGAGUAACUGGGCUCUUAAUUCCAUAAGCAGCCUGCAGAGAGAUCUCUUUUCUCUGGUGGGCUGGGUUUGGUGAAAAAUUGAAAGAAAAAUGACUGAAGGAAUGAAAGAAAUGUAUUCUGGUUCUGUUUUAUUUGUGUGUGUCAAGCUUUUGUGUACAUAGAAAUGCAGAUUUAUGAGAUCUCGAGAAAGCAGCACUUGUAUCAAUUCCUUCCCCGGAAGAAUCUAAUAACUGCCAGGUUCUCUUGUUGACAUAGGGAGGAUCAUCAUUUGGAUUUAAUCCAAACACUAAGUUUUACAGAUGAGCCUAAGGCACUGCUAGUGACAUAUUAUCCCAUGUCUCCUCAUAGUGAUAUUCCCCUUUUCUGAAUAGGCAUAGAUGAAUCUUGAGGCAGAUGUGCAUUAAGAAUCCCUGUUUCUGUGUUUUACUUGGACUAUGCAGCUACAAUUCAGGCAACUAGAAAAGGGCUAAAUAGCAUUCGCUGCCCUGCUGGGGCCCCUGCUCUGCCCCCAGUAGCUGCCAAUGGUUUGCCCUGGGGCAGCUGGACAGAAAGUGUACCUCAUGCCACAAGAACCGGGCGCUUGGGGCUCCUGCCAGGCAAGUCAGCUGAGAUAAUCCGCUGCCUGUGACCUCAUUAAAACAGCCUGAUUGGGGCUGCUAAUCACAUAAAUAAAGAAUUAAAUCAUUGCAUUAACCUUCUGCAGGGAAACCUGCCCUGGCAACACUGACAGAAUUAGAUCUAUUAAUUAUUUACAGGGUCAUUUGAUAGAAAUGUAUAUAGAUGGCAGAUUAUGAGCACUUGAAGUUAGCCAUAAAUUAUUGCUCUGAUAAGAAGUUUUUAAUAUUUUCUCUUAAUGUCCUGAAUUAAAAGCCACCUUGCUUUUAUCUCCGUAAGACAGUAGCGGCACACAUCAUUUACUGCAGGUAGAUCAAACAAAUGCCAUGACCCAACAGCAAGGAUUUGUGCACUCCUCUCUUUUUAUGAGGCUCUUUGUUUUGUUAGCAGUCCCUCUUGUGCAAGCAGGAUUUCUGUAGCUAAAUUUGGGGCCAGUUCCUCACCCACUGUAACUACUCAGAGCUUCUGUGGUGGCAAAGGUGCUCGGAGGACCUGAGCUUUGCCUUGCCAUCACUGUGUGGCUAAUCUGGCUCACCAGCUAUCUCCAGCAUUUCCCACUGCCGCAGAGCACUCAGAUGCUUUCUGCAGUGGCUCUCUAGUGUUAAAAGUAUUCAAUUUCAUUAAAUGCUGCGUUGCAUUUCCCUUCUAUCCAAGGAUUGCUUGGAAAAAAUGCUCUUGAAUCAAAUGGGAUGAUAAGUUCAUUAUUUUACUGAUUCUACUGGGCUUGCAGGAAUGACAAUGGCACUAGAUAGGCUUGUUUGCUGACCAGAAUUUGAAUGUGUAUCUGCAGCUAGCACACAAAAGAUUUGGGCAUGUGGAGUGGAGGGAGGGUGGGGAGACUGAAGGGAAAUCUGUCAUUAUUUAUGGAAAUAUCCAGUAUUCAUGGAGCCAUCUGCUGUGAAUUAUUCAAGUCUGAGAAGUGUAAUAAAAUGAGGAAGCAUAAUGUAAAAAGAAAAAAAUAAAAUAAAAAACCUGGCAUCGCUCAGAAACCUGAAUGCGUAACCUCAGAAUCUCUCUUUUUAAAGAUGGUUUGUAAAUCCUCUGCCAGAUUGAGAGAUAAAGAUAGAUGAUAUUUCUCAGGUUUCUCUCCUCACCCUUCUUGGAGCAAUUCAUUCCAUUUGUUCAUUUUCAGCUUUUUAAUUAUUGAUCAUGUCUUUUCUUUUUAACUUCCUCACUGUUUGGGGCUGAGACAAGGGGGUGUUAAGAAAAAGGUGUCUGGGAGACUGCUUAGACCUUGAAGCAUUGAGAAGGUCUUUCUUGUAGCCGUCAUUUUCUCAGAUAUCGAAGCAUCUGCUUUGUUGCCAGAAUUCGCAUUAAUAUUAAGAAAUUUUAUUAUGAGUGGGACCCUCAUAAUGCUCCUCUGGGCCCAGUCACAGGCAGAGGUUCGCCUGCUGUCCUGUACUGUGUCCUUUCUGAUUGUUCCCAUUCCUUAUUCAUUGGUUUGAUCAUGUUCUUCUUUACACAGUCAGUACAGACAGACUGUGGGGAAACUGAGGCAGAGCAACACAGUGAUCUACUGACAACACUGGGGACAGGCUCUACUUUUCUUGAUUAUUUCUCUGGGAACAGAGACCUGCUGCAAGUCCUUUUCUUGGGAGCAGCUGGAAAUCCCUGUGAAAAGUUCUGUCUAUCUUGCUUCUCUUAUUUUGGUUAGCUUUUUAGUGGUAUGGCAUAUUACUAGCAGGUGCUGUGGUGUACUUGUGUGCAUUUGUCUUGCUGUACUUCCUUUCAUCUCUAUCACUUUGUUCUCUGGCUACUUGUGGCAUGCUAGAGUAGAAGUUGAUCUUCAGCUGCCGUGGUGUUUGCAGUCCGUGGCUAUGCAUUUAGAAAUCUCCCUACUAUUGCUCUGACUUUCUAAAAUACUUCCUUGCUUUAUAAUUUGCCAUUAGUUACAUUGGUUUAUCUUGAAGCUGUGCAAUAGUCCUGUUCUCCAUACAGCUUUUCUUUCUUCAUCCAGUAUUCCAACUCCAUGCCUUAAAAAUUCCAUCUCCAGCCUAGCAAGCACAUAAAAAUGUGCUGAAGCACCACAGAUUUUGAUUCUUCCCUCUUCUGCAGGCUUGCUUCAGUUCUCGAGGAGCUUGUGGUUACCUCAGCUGAAAUGAUCUCAGAGGACUUGUUCCAGCUACAUUCAUGCUGAGUAGGAUCUCAUUCAGCAAACAGCCUCUCAGUAAUCAAUAUGCCUGCGGGGGAGGAAAUACAGAGUGCCAGAGAACCCAGCAAGGCAGUAUAAGUCACAGCCACGAAGAGCAGCUGGGGACAGGCAAAGCAAGGCAAGGCCCAGCGCUGUGAGUACCAGGCCACCCUGCUGCCCAGCACUGUGGAUAUUAGAGUGACAACGUUACAGUACUAUUGCUCGUCAUUAUUUCCUAGGUCACAGAGUACCAGAUUGCUCAUGCAGAACACCAUUUCACUUGCUGGGUUCUCCUGGGCAGCAUCAGGAUUUAUUUGUUGUUUUGUGGAAGAGAUGCUCACUAGACCUCAGGAUCAUGCACUACUUUGCAAGCUGGCUAUCAAGAAUUGGUAAAAAGUGCUCUGAAAAAUCCUGGAUGCGUCUCAUGACCGUGUCAGAGAAACAAAGCUGUAAAUCCCACUCCUGUAUCUGCAAACAUCUGAAUUCCAAAUAACAGAUGUAUUCAUUAAGUGUCUAGCCUAUGAAAAAAGAAAUCCAAUGCUUUUUUUUUUUUUUGUGAUGAACUUGGUCUGCAAUAAGGACCACUGUAAAGUAAAUGACAAAGCCAUUGACCUGGAGCACAUCACUAAACACGAGCUGAAUUACUGCUUUCUGUCGGACACCGAAUGAUUGUCACUGGGACUACAUCCAGCUACCCGUGAUGGAUCUCCAGGAAGCCUGACACAGGAACUUUUGCAUUAGUCAAAAUGAAGUGCUCUGUUGAAGGCAUUACUUUCAGGAGACUGAAGGGAAAGGAGGAAUUCAAUGUCAUUUCACUUCCUGAAGUACAGUCUGGAGCUCACCUGAAGAACUGCAAGUGUUAGAUGCUCCCACAGAGCAGAGGCAUACGCUACUGGAAUAGGCCUCCUUGUGCUGGCAAGCAGAUUUUCUAGAUUUUUUUUAGAAUUUUCUAGAUGCCUUAGUUCUGGCCUGUGGAAUAAAAAAACGGAGAGGGAUACAAGAAAGAAUGAAGGAGCAGCACAGCUCACUAUUGUUCAUAUUGCUGAAGUUACUCAUCAUCCUUCAAGGUGCUUCACACUAACCACCAGUAGAUGAGAAGCUUCAGCUCACUGUAUACAGAAUCAUCUCCAGGACAGUAGCAUCAGCAGGAUUUGCCUCAUCCAGCUGCCACUGAAUCAGACACUCAUCGUACAGGAGAAAAAACUGGGACUGACUCGGAAAGACCUUCCAAUUUCCCCUGUGUUUUAGUCCAAGAGAACUCUAUUACCAUUAAUGUGGGAGAAAUGAGACCUUGUACUGAAUGAGUUCAAGGACCUCUGCAGAAUGAGGCAGAUACUGAGCUCUGAAGAAGUGCAGCGUGGGGAUUGAUUCUAGAUACCUUUUUGCAUCCCACAAACAGCAUCUUGGAUUUGCCAACCAGUGUAAGACACUGACCACUGCUAUCAGACAGCUGUCACCUGCUGAGCUGAUUCCAGCCUGCAGCUCUUGCCCCACAAGAAUACAUGAAACAUCGCUUCUGGCAGCAAGUUUGGGGCAUCUAUCUUUCUGCACUGAGGAAAGAAACCACACAGUGGGAUCAGGUAACCAUAAACUACAACUGCUACAGAUGUUCUCCUUCCACUGAAUAUGACUGCACAUAUCGUUCUGACUGUGGCUGCACUGGAAAUGUGGUUCACAACAUAUUCCUAAUGGAAACAUUCACUCAUCAAGCAAAAACGGUUCAUCCCAAAACAGCAGCAUUUCAGUGCUGCUGUCCUACUCUGAUGCUUCAUCAGAGUAAAAGCUGGAGCACCUGUGUUCUCUGUGGGGGUGGGUUUCCUUUGGGGCUGUCACUUCACAUCUGAGAGUAAAACCUUCCACGUAUUUAAGGAAGCGAGGAGGGUAUGUAUGCAUUUCAGAUAGAUGCAGUCAUUCAUUGAGACUAAGACAAGAAUAGCUGUGGUCAGAGGAUGCACAGGAAGCUUGUGGGACACGAACACCACUGGCAAAAGAAAAAUCAACAGGGAAGUGGUUCUGCAGCCUGAGAAGCACUGGCAAGGCAUGCUGACCUGCACACAUCCUCUGCCCACUGCAUACAGGCAGCUCGCUGCCAGCACAUGGCCACAAUAGCGCUCCAGAAGCAGCAGCUACUCACUGCCACAGCUUCCUGGCUAUUACAGUGACAUUAUUAAUCAUUUCAGGACUUCAUAAUGUUUUGACGGACAGAUAGCAUGAGGUUGGAUCUAAUAACAUCUGUUACCUCUAUUCAAGUUUUGCAUUAUUAAAUCAGAUCAAAACUGGCAGAAUCUCCCCUUUAGCAGAUCUGAUAUUCCUGGGGACAGUCAAAACUGUCCAAAAGGAGCUAAUGUUUAUUCACCCUUUGCAAACAAAUACCAAAAUCCAUUUGGAGGUCGCUGGAGAGGACAGCGACGUUUUCCUUUGUAAAAUCAAUGUAAUUACUGAAAAUCCUACAACAGCAAAAAAAAGAACAAGCGAACCAAAGCUUGCCGUGAGGAUAAGGGCCUAACCUCUCUGCUGGCAUAAAGCAACUUCGGUCUGAGGAGUUCAGAAGGAAAGCUGUGCUCAAGAGAGAACUUGAUUUUGUCUAUUCAUAUUGAUUUGCAUCAUCUGAAGAUCUACCCCUAUAUCCCUAUAAGAUUAGGAAUGCAUGGUGCUGUGAAGUGAACUGUAUAAUUCAAUAUUUUAUCUUUCCUUCAGGCAGGCAGGCAGGAAGUAUGCUCCAAGGUAAGAACUAAUCAGUAGAGUUGAGAGAAUAAUUUACAGUGGAAUAAUUUACUCAAUGAAUUUAGCUUCUUAUCUGCUCAGAGACUUCGCAGCUCUGGAAAGCAGAAGACAUAAUUGCAGGGUCUCUAUUGCUCACAGUAUCUCAGGCCGAUGGCUGCAUGUCAGGCUUGGCUGUGUAGGGCUGAUUAAUGCCAGGGCCUUUCCUCCCUGACAGGGACUGCAAUUUCCUAACCAGAAGGAACUGAAGAAACCUGAAGCACCUACACCUUUCCCAUGCAGACUUGGAUCAGCUUUACUUUAGCCUUAGCUUCUUGUUGCAGAAAGUCAUGUUGGCAACAAUGCUUCAUAGGCUCAUAGAAUCACAGAAUCAUUACAGUUGGAAAAUGACCUCUCAGAUCAUCCAGUCCAAACUCUAACCCAUCCCCACCAUGCCCACUGAUCUUGUCCUUCAGUACAUCUCCACAGUUCUUUAACCCCUCCAGGUACAGUAACUCCACCAUCUCUGUGGGUCUGUUGGCACACAGAGGAGAAUAUCAAAUGCUGACAGGCAGCAGCUAAGCAGGUGAUCAAAGGGUCUUCCCAGUACAAGCUGUACACUGGAGCAUGUGUGUAAGAAAUGAAAUGACUUUUUUUUCCCAGUCUUUAUAUGACUCUCAUGGAGAGCAAAAUGAGAAAAAAAAAAUUACAUGUGUCUUAUCACACUGCAAGGAUUAUCUGUCCCCUCUGAGAUCACCUCCGCCUGUCACGUACACAUUUUUACAAGAAUUAAAACACUAUUACAGCCGUAGAGCACAGAUACUGUUUUGUAGCUUCCUAAGAGCCAUCACAUGUGGGAAACAAGCACCAAUAGCCAGCAGACACUGAGUGCAUCAGCAUUAGCUUCUCUGGGAAGAAGUAGCAUUUCUAGUGGGGCAGCCAGCACAGAAACCCCACAAACCACUGGGAAAUACUGAUGUCUGCGCCAGAGAGCACGACUCCCAGGAAAAGGAACACACAUUGGCACCUGGCCCCAACAGGGCUGCCAGGAAGGAAGCCUCAACAACUUUCCCGUCUAGACAUACCAUCACCACGUGAGCCAUCUCCUGCCGUCAUCCCCUGGGGGCUUCCAGCAGACAUGCCGGGAAGCGGCUUUCCCCGAUAACAGUCUUUGGAGGAGGCGGCUUCAGCAACUCCUUGCACCAUGGCAAAAACCCAAAAAGAUUUUAAUCAUUUGGGCAGAGCCCCAGGAGAGUGUGGGGUAAAAGCCAGCUGGUUAUACAGGCAGAGGGAAAGGCAGAGAUACAAGGAGCUGGGAUAAAAGCAGAGCAAGGCCAACUGGGUGACUACCAGUUUGCAGGGAUCCUGCACCCAAGGGUUUGUUCCCUCUGUGUUUGCUCCCUAUUGUGUUCCCUCUUCUGCAGGGGAAGACUGACUUAGAUUCAAAGACAGCAAAUUUAGAAUCAAAAAUAGCUCUGCUCCUUCUGCCUUUGGCAUCUGACUUUUUAUCUGAGUAUUUGAUGCUGUUUGUUUUGACUCAGAAUACUAGGUUUCCUCCUCAGGAACUGGGGCCGACAGACCUAUUUAAUCUUUCAUAUUGGCCACAGUGAUAACUUCUUAUUAAAUAUUUCAUGCUGUUGUACUGAUAAAGAGCAUAAGACAAAACUUGGCAUGAAUACGAUUCCAAAGAGCAUCUGCUUAAAAAUAAAACACUUGGAAGAAUCAGGAAGGAAAUAAGUAGCCAUGCGGCUGGAAAAAAAUGAUUCAAGGUAAUCAGGUCAAGCCUAUAAUGAAGUGUUUAUAAACAACAGUAAAAACACUGAAUGUUUCUACUGUGCAUCACCUCGUUAUUUCACAAGAGCCUUCCCAAUAUCCAUACUUGGUGGUCUAUUGCUGUUCCGUGGUGCCAGUGUUUAUAGGAAACUUAUGUACAAGCAGCUCCCCUCUGGCAAGGGGAGUUCUAACAAGGAGUCCUAAAGAGCACAGUGGCAGCCAGCACAGUCAGCGAGAUAACAACCUCAGGUGCUGGCGAGGUUCCCACAAGCUGACUGGGCUUUGGGUUGCUGUACUGUACAGAGUGGACCUAUAGAAUCAUUAAGUCUGGAAAAGAUCGCUAAGAUCGUCCAGUCCAACCAUCAACCCACCCCCACCAUGCCCACUGACCAUGUCCCUCAGUGCCACAUCUCAUGGUUGUUGAACACCUUCAGGGAUGGUGACUGCACCACCUUCCUGGGCAGCCUGUGCCAGUGCAUCACCAUUCUGUCUGAAAAGGAAUGUUCCCUAACAGCCAAGCUGAACACCCCCUGACACAACUUCAGGUCAUGCCUUGCUGGCUGAGCACCAAAAGGAGAUGCAAAACAGCUUGCUGCUCUGCUAUUCAGGGGCCUUGUAGAGACCUCACCUCAGGAGCCUAGCAAAAGAUUCUUUCAUAUGCAACACAGUGACUUUUGUCAUUUGGGUAUUGGCAGCUUAUACAUUCAUUCCAGGGACCUGAAUGUGGCAGUCCCUUUCUCAGACACUACAUGACAAUGUUAAAUGCUGACAUCCCACCAGUAUUUAUGUUUCUCAUAAUGUAGGCCAGUGUGUGCCCUACAAGGGCCUGCAAAGGGCUAAGCACAGCCAGCACCUGGGGUGCCAAGCACCCCUCGCACCGUGAGCUGUGAUCCCCGGUGUGCAACAAACACAGCUGCUGUGUUAAAAAAAAUAAAUAACUUCAGACAGAGAGCUUAGAGACCUCAUACUCACUGGCAAAAAAAAAAAAAAUGAAAGCAGAGAAAAAGCAACCACUAAGCAAUUAAUUGAAAAAUUAUUGGCAGGCCAGGCCUCUGCCUUUAAUGAUAACUGAUAAUAGGGCCAGUCAAUGCUAUGCAGUGGGAUAAUACAAACACACCCUCUAGAGUGAAAGCGCAAAACGAGACAUACUAUUAUCAUAAAUAGAUUAAUUAAAUAGAAAGAGAGCAUUAAAGAACAGGAGAUUAUUAGCGUGCAGGCAAUAGCCUAUUACAGCAGCACAGCUGAUGAAUGCAGGUACCAGGAAUACAGCACACAAACCUGGAACCAGAGGGAAGAAAAAUGUUUGGGCAGCUGCAAGGCAACAACCUCCUCCUGCAGCUCCUCACAGUGUCUGUGUGGGAGCUGCUGGCUUCAGGGCUGUGUGGCUCAGUCAAGAGCAAUCUGUGGGCUGGAACCUGAAGGGCACAGGAAAGACAUGGCCAAAACGUGGCCAGGCUCUUCCACCUAUCUGACAGAAAGCUUCUCAGCUUGUGUUGAGAAAUGACUGAAGCACGCAGCGGGGAGUUAAUAAAGUUUCAGAGAGAAACACUUUGAAAAAUGAGCCAGUGUCACAGUUUAUCACUAAUAAGAGUUUUCCUGGUGAAAAUAAUGCUGCUGUUCCCAACUGCAAUUUGUUUGUCAACUGUACGUUUCCCAUCAGUAAAAACCUUUGUUAUUCAGAAAUAUCGAUCAAAGUUCCAUGUUGGGUGGUGUACAACAAGUGAAGUGUAAAUACAGAAUUUCCUAGAAGAAACUUCGGGAAUGCUGUGUGCACAGCUGAUGUGACAGUAAUCAUAGAAUCAUAGCAUUGUUAAGGCCAGAAAAGAUCUCUAAAGUCACCCAGCCCAAUCAUCAACCCAUCCCCACCAUGCCC
Centrocercus urophasianus (Greater sage-grouse) is the source of this 14453-nucleotide long non-coding RNA. RefSeq lists it as uncharacterized. NCBI's taxonomy places the organism in Eukaryota, Metazoa, Chordata, Aves, Galliformes, Phasianidae. The record is from RefSeq and is a predicted model, not a curated record. The transcript has 10 exons.